RNAcentral lists this long non-coding RNA (260 nucleotides) under Canis lupus familiaris (dog). Its description in RNAcentral is "lncRNA (ENSCAFG00040022857.1)". Lineage: Eukaryota; Metazoa; Chordata; Mammalia; Carnivora; Canidae. The record is from RNAcentral.
GACUGAAAAUCUGUCAGAGGAGUUUUCUCUGAUUUUCAUCUUUUUCUCAUGAGCAGAAGUAGAAAUUUUAGAGAUUUCAAAAGGAAGUAAUUACUAGUAAAGUUUUAAAAGACAGCAAGAACAGAUCUGGACAUGAAGAGGAUACCGAGUGGCUAUGGGUUAUUGGAUUUAUCAUUUAAAACAAUGUGACUGGGUAAGUUAAAAAAAAGUCCAUGGCCCAAUUAUUCAUUUACAAAAUGAGGAUAAUAGUAAGUCAUUUU